AAUAGCCAUAUCAGAUGAAUUCCAAUAGUUUUGUGUGAUUGAAUGCUCAGGAUGCAAACAGAAGAAGCGCACAAAGGAUAGAAAGGAUUUUGAAUGUCCAAAAUGCAAUCGGAAAACAACAUUAGUGCCUCGGUGUAUCUUUCAAAUUGAUCUUAUUGAUGGUACUGCUACAACCACAACAUCUAUCUCUGGUGAAUUGGGAGAAAAAUUACUCUCCAUGACAGC
Long non-coding RNA from Solanum tuberosum (potato), 225 nucleotides. RefSeq lists it as uncharacterized. NCBI's taxonomy places the organism in Eukaryota, Viridiplantae, Streptophyta, Magnoliopsida, Solanales, Solanaceae. The transcript has 2 exons. The record is from RefSeq and is a predicted model, not a curated record.